This is a long non-coding RNA of Rhagoletis zephyria (snowberry fruit fly), 1018 nucleotides long. RefSeq lists it as uncharacterized. NCBI's taxonomy places the organism in Eukaryota, Metazoa, Arthropoda, Insecta, Diptera, Tephritidae. The record is from RefSeq and is a predicted model, not a curated record.
UUUACACAUAUUUUGUAUGGCAAUGCUGUACUUUUGUACAUUUAGUAUCAACCCUGUUCAAUUGGAAAAGUACCAAAUUAAAAUUAAGGAACAAAAACACAAGAGAUUGAAAAUAAUCUCUUGUCGCGAAAUAAAAUUGUUUUCUUUCUAUUCAAAAUUUUCGUUAAAGUGAAUUUUAUUUAUUUACAAACAUUGAAAGAUCGUGUGUAACACAAAUGAACAUAUAAAGUAUGCUAUAGUAAAAAAGAUAAACAAGAAUAAGGAAGUAAAAAAUUUUCUUCAUCCAAUUUUUGCUUUGCGGGAAGUGUGAAGAGGGAUUUUUUCAUUUGUCAUCGUUUGCAACGCGAGUGGAAAUUUAAUUGAAAAGUCCGAAGAAAUUCAUGUCUGCGAGGUCACAAAUAUACAAGGCCUUUAAUUAGGUAUUCUUCAUAGGGGAUUAAUUUUGAAACUGACAACACUGUUUUAACCGAUGAACAAUGCACGACGUUUGACACGAGCAAAGCACGAAACGAGUGAACGGGCUGAAUAUUUUCCUUUUUGUAGCUUUCCUUGACGAGGAGUUAAAAAUAAAAAUUUCGCAAUGGAAGAUGUAGCAGAAAUAAAAGCAAGAACAUCAUAAUUAAAAGAAAAUUCUUUCUGAAAACAAAGAACUUGCCGAUUCUUUUGUUAAGUUUGAGUUUUUCCCAAACGCAAAGCGAAAGAUACAAGAAAGGAAAUUUAAGUGAAGUUACUCCAUUAUAUCUACAAACAACAAUUACAAUAAAAAUAUAGUAUACUGGUUCGAGGAAUUUUUCAAGAAAUUAAUCGAAUUACAUUGGCCACGGCCAAUCAUCGGCUGUAGCAACGUCCUGUUGAAAAGGAGACGACACGCAGAGAGGAAGGAUAAAGGAAGAUACCGAUCGACUUAUUUGUUUUAAGGAUUUCUACAAUAUCGUUACCAUUUAUUGUUCAAUAAUAACCUAAUACUACAAAAACAUAGUACUUGGUGGGCUACAGAUUUAUUGUUAGGUGUUAUAAG